GCCCACCCGUUUUUGUGGCCUUUUUCCGCUGGACGAACUUGGCGCCCCGGCUGUCGGGCGGUUAUUUUUGGGCGCGGCUUUGCCCGCGGCCUAUUUUUGGCACACGGAGGCCCCUCGCAAAUUCUCGCGGCAUUCCGAGUCCAGCGGACGAACGUCGCCCACGCCCCCCACCAAGGCUAUAGCCCAUCCUUUUUUGGCCAUUUUUCCGCUGGGGGGGCUUGGGACCCCGACCUUCGGGGGCUGAUUUUUGGACGCGGCUGUGCCCGUGGCCUAUUUAUGGCACACGGAGGCCGCCCGCCAAGUAUGGUGCCAUUCCGAGUCCCGGGGACGAACUUCGCCCACGCCCACCACCAAGGCUAUAGCCCACCCGUUUUUUGGCCAUUUUUCCCCAGGGGGGUCUUGGGACCCCGACCUUCCGGGGCUGAUUGUUGGACGCGGCUGUGCCCGUGGCCUAUUUUUGGCACACGGAGGCCGCCCGCCAAGUCUGGGGCCAUUCCGAGUCCCGCGGACGAACGUCGCCCACGCCCCCCACCAAGGGUAUAGCCCACCCUUUUUUUGGCCAUUUUUCCGCUGGGGGGGCUUGGGACCCCGACC
RNAcentral lists this long non-coding RNA (594 nucleotides) under Citrus x clementina. RNAcentral describes it as "Citrus clementina (C. clementina) long non-coding RNA (CCLE_LNC003215)". Lineage: Eukaryota; Viridiplantae; Streptophyta; Magnoliopsida; Sapindales; Rutaceae. The record is from RNAcentral.